GCCCAGCCGUAAACUUUUACUUACACCUCAAUCGCCUGGGAACUACGAGCAAAGCUUAAAACCCAAGGGACUUGACGGUACCCCAUAUCCACCUAGAGGAGCCUGUCCUAUAAUCGAUAACCCCCGCUUAACCUCACCAUUUUUAGCUUAUCAGCCUGUAUACCUCCGUCGUCAGCUUACCACGUGAGCGCCUAUUAGUGAGCUUAAUGCCCUUACGCCAACACGUCAGGUCAAGGUGCAGCAUAUGAAAUGGGAAGAGAUGGGCUACACUAUCUAAUUUAGAUUACACGAAAGACUAUAUAUGAAACCUAGUCGAAAGGCGGAUUUAGAAGUAAAGAAAGACCAAAAUGCUUCCUUUAACUCGGCACUGGGGUGUGUACACACCGCCCGUCACCCUCUUCAAAGCUUUAAUGUAGUUUGUAACCCCCCUUAGCGCGCUAGAAGAGGCAAGUCGUAACAUGGUAAGUAUACCGGAAGGUGUGCUUGGAAA
This 490-nucleotide ribosomal RNA is filed under the name Dendropsophus microps (Nova Friburgo treefrog). Its description in RNAcentral is "partial small subunit ribosomal RNA". It matches the Rfam family "Bacterial small subunit ribosomal RNA", at positions 794 to 1522 of the family's 1533-position model. Lineage: Eukaryota; Metazoa; Chordata; Amphibia; Anura; Hylidae. The record is from RNAcentral.